This 79-nucleotide transfer RNA is filed under the name Streptomyces malachitofuscus. RNAcentral describes it as "tRNA-Met". The record is from RNAcentral. Lineage: Bacteria; Bacillati; Actinomycetota; Actinomycetes; Kitasatosporales; Streptomycetaceae.
CGGCCGGGGGUGCGUGUAGCGGAUGCCGUCGGUGUUCAUGACGACGAUGAAGUCGACGUUCGACUCCUCGCGGGCCGCC